This 446-nucleotide ribosomal RNA is filed under the name uncultured bacterium. RNAcentral's name for it is "partial 16S ribosomal RNA". It matches the Rfam family "Bacterial small subunit ribosomal RNA", at positions 338 to 795 of the family's 1533-position model. The record is from RNAcentral.
CCUACGGGGGGCAGCAGUCGAGAAUCAUUCACAAUGGGGGAAACCCUGAUGGUGCGACGCCGCGUGGGGGAAUGAAGGUCUUCGGAUUGUAAACCCCUGUCAUGUGGGAGCAAAUUAAAAAGAUAGUACCACAAGAGGAAGAGACGUCUAACUCUGUGCCAGCAGCCGCGGUAAUACAGCGGUCUCAAGCGUUGUUCGGAAUCACUGGGCGUAAAGCGUGCGUAGGCUGUUUCGUAAGUCGUAUGUGAAAGGCGCGGGCGCAACCCGCGGACGGCACAUGAUACUGCGAGACUAGAGUAAUGGAGGGGGAAGCGGAAUUCGCGGUGUAGCAGUGAAAUGCGUAGAUAUCGAGAGGAACACUCGUGGCGAAGGCGGGUUCCUGGACAUUAACUGACGCUGAGGCACGAAGGCCAGGGGAGCGAAAGGGAUUAGAUACCCCAGUAGUC